RNAcentral lists this ribosomal RNA (482 nucleotides) under uncultured bacterium. RNAcentral's name for it is "partial 16S ribosomal RNA". It matches the Rfam family "Bacterial small subunit ribosomal RNA", at positions 30 to 507 of the family's 1533-position model. The record is from RNAcentral.
AUUGAACGCUGGCGGCAUGCCUUACACAUGCAAGUCGAACGGUAACAGGUCUUCGGAUGCUGACGAGUUGCGAACGGGUGAGUAAUACAUCGGAACGUGCCCGAUCGUGGGGGAUAACGAGGCGAAAGCUUUGCUAAUACCGCAUACGAUCUACGGAUGAAAGCGGGGGAUCUUCGGACCUCGCGCGGACGGAGCGGCCGAUGGCAGAUUAGGUAGUUGGUGGGAUAAAAGCUUACCAAGCCGACGAUCUGUAGCUGGUCUGAGAGGAUGAUCAGCCACACUGGGACUGAGACACGGCCCAGACUCCUACGGGAGGCAGCAGUGGGGAAUUUUGGACAAUGGGCGAAAGCCUGAUCCAGCCAUGCCGCGUGCAGGAUGAAGGCCUUCGGGUUGUAAACUGCUUUUGUACGGAACGAAAAGCCUCUUUCUAAUAAAGAGGGGUCAUGACGGUACCGUAAGAAUAAGCACCGGCUAACUACGUG